UGGGGAAUUUUGGACAAUGGGCGAAAGCCUGAUCCAGCAAUGCCGCGUGUGUGAAGAAGGCCUUCGGGUUGUAAAGCACUUUUGUCCGGAAAGAAAUCCUCUGGGGUUAAUACCCUCGGGGGGAUGACGGUACCGGAAGAAUAAGCACCGGCUAACUACGUGCCAGCAGCCGCGGUAAUACGUAGGGUGCAAGCGUUAAUCGGAAUUACUGGGCGUAAAGCGUGCGCAGGCGGUUUUUGUAAGACGGAUGUGAAAUCCCCGGGCUUAACCUGGGAACUGCAUUCGUGACUGCAAGGCUAGAGUAUGGCAGAGGGGGGUAGAAUUCCACGUGUAGCAGUGAAAUGCGUAGAGAUGUGGAGGAAUACCGAUGGCGAAGGCAGCCCCCUGGGCCAAUACUGACGCUCAUGCACGAAAGCGUGGGGAGCAAACAGGAUUAGAUACCCUGGUAGUCCACGCCCUAAACGAUGUCAACUAGUUGUUGGGGAUUCAUUUCCUUAGUAACGUAGCUAACGCGUGAAGUUGACCGCCUGGGGAGUACGGUCGCAAGAUUAAAACUUAAAGGAAUUGAC
This 569-nucleotide ribosomal RNA is filed under the name uncultured bacterium. Its description in RNAcentral is "partial 16S ribosomal RNA". It matches the Rfam family "Bacterial small subunit ribosomal RNA", at positions 355 to 914 of the family's 1533-position model. The record is from RNAcentral.